RNAcentral lists this ribosomal RNA (474 nucleotides) under uncultured organism. RNAcentral's name for it is "partial 16S ribosomal RNA". It matches the Rfam family "Bacterial small subunit ribosomal RNA", at positions 335 to 800 of the family's 1533-position model. The record is from RNAcentral.
ACUCCUGCGGGAGGCAGCAGUGGGGAAUAUUGCACAAUGGGCGCAAGCCUGAUGCAGCCAUGCCGCGUGUAUGAAGAAGGCCUUCGGGUUGUAAAGUACUUUCAGCGGGGAGGAAGGUGUUGAGGUUAAUAACCUCAGCAAUUGACGUUACCCGCCGAAGAAGCACCGGCUAACUCCGUGCCAGCAGCCGCGGUAAUACGGAGGGUGCAAGCGUUAAUCGGAAUUACUGGUCGUAAAGCGAACGCAGGCGGUCUGUCAAGUCGGAUGUGAAAUCCCCGGGCUCAACCUGGGAACUGCAUUCGAAACUGGCAGGAUAGAGUCUUGUAGAGGGGGGUAGAAUUCCAGGUGUAGCGGUGAAAUGCGUAGAGAUCUGGAGGAAUACCGGUGGCGAAGGCGGCCCCCUGGACAAAGACUGACGCGCAGGUGCAAAAGCGUGGGGAGCAAACAGGAUUAGAAACCCUUGUAGUCCCAUGA